CUUUUUAAUUCUUACGCCUUUGUAUUAGUAUCAACCAAAGCCUUCAACAUAAUAUUGUAUGACAGAAUACGGAGCCUUGUUAAUUUGUAAUUCAUAGUAGUAGCAGGACUUAACAUACUACUCUUCCUCCAUUCUGACCGCAGUUUUAUUCUGUCUGUCAGGGUGAUCUCCCCUUGGUCGGGCACGAUGGUAGAAACAGAAGGGUGGUGUUGCUGCGCCCUCUUCUGGCCAAAGGUGGUCAUGUCCUGAAGAAACGAGCUCUGCGCACCAGGUGUGGGGAGCCACCUCGUGGAAGAAAGCAUCCAUUGCGCCUGAUCUUUGUUUUCUCCCGCAGUGCGACGGUGGUGACCGGAAUCACUCCCAACUCAAGCACCUCCCCUCUCUCCAAGAAACCCAACCUCAGCCAUAAAGGAAAGACACACGUGGACCUCAAGUCCCCCAGCACAUCGAAGCACCAGCGGCAACUAACGGCGUUGACUUUCAAGUGCUGUGAUCAAGGAGGCCUCAACGACCUAAAAACAAUUUUCAGAGUGGCUCUGUGGUCCCUGGGUAGCCUUCGGAAAGAGCCUUUGAAGGUUACGGUCAUGUUAUCAACAGAUGUCAACAAACAUGGUCGGUGAAUUUGGAAGAGUCGAAUUGUCUUCUUCCAAGGUCAACGGAAGUCUUAUGGAAACAGCAGGCAAUCUUGGAAAGAGCAGUCGGAGGUCUCGCUGUGCGCACCAUGCAACCGUGAAAUACUUUCACCAAAGAUAUCUUCCAGCAAAGUGUA
Molecule: long non-coding RNA, 769 nt
Organism: Psammomys obesus (fat sand rat)
Lineage: Eukaryota; Metazoa; Chordata; Mammalia; Rodentia; Muridae
Exons: 3
Source: RefSeq, a predicted model, not a curated record